Molecule: long non-coding RNA, 367 nt
Filed under: Chloebia gouldiae (Gouldian finch)
Lineage: Eukaryota; Metazoa; Chordata; Aves; Passeriformes; Passeridae
Description: Erythrura gouldiae (Gouldian finch) lncRNA (ENSEGOG00005009656.1)
Source: RNAcentral
CGCCCGGGGCAGGGCGGCCCGUGCCGGGGGCGGGCGAGGCUGCCGAGAGCGCUCGGCCUCUGCGCCUCCGGGCCGCGCAGGAGCCAGGCAGAACUGAGAUGCUGAGUGAGACAGAGACAUCUUCGAAAGUGGAAUUUCAGAAGUCUGCUCUGCAGCCAGGAUGCUGACAAUGUUCAGAGUUGAUGCUGUGGAAGAUGAUCAAUGUAGACCGAACCCAGAGAGAUUCCACGCUCCACUCACUGCAAACGCCUCUCUGGAGCAGCUCGGAUGCACUGUGCUGCAAUAGGUAAGAGCAACAGCAUGCCACAUGAGCUUAACAUUAAUUUUGAUUCAUUUUGUAGGUCAAGCAUGAAAUACCUCUUGUAGU